CCUACGGGAGGCAGCAGUCGAGAAUCAUUCACAAUGGGGGAAACCCUGAUGGUGCGACGCCGCGUGGGGGAAUGAAGGUCUUCGGAUUGUAAACCCCUGUCAUGUGGGAGCAAAUUAAAAAGAUCGUACCACAAGAGGAAGAGACGGCUAACUCUGUUCCAGCAGCCGCGGUAAUACAGAGGUCUCAAGCGUUGUUCGGAAUCACUGGGCGUAAGGCGUGCGUAGGCUGUUUCGUAAGUCGUGUGUGAAAGGCGCGGGCUCAACCCGCGGACGGCACAUGAUACUGCGAGACUAGAGUAAUGGAGGGGGAACCGGAAUGCUCGGGGUAGCAGUGAAAUGCGUAGAUAUCGAGAGGAACACUCGUGGCGAAGGCGGGUUCCUGGACAUUAACUGACGCUGAGGCACGAAGGCCAGGGGAGCGAAAGGGAUUAGAUACCCCAGUAGUC
RNAcentral lists this ribosomal RNA (446 nucleotides) under uncultured bacterium. Its description in RNAcentral is "partial 16S ribosomal RNA". It matches the Rfam family "Bacterial small subunit ribosomal RNA", at positions 338 to 795 of the family's 1533-position model. The record is from RNAcentral.